RNAcentral lists this unclassified non-coding RNA (339 nucleotides) under Hevea brasiliensis (rubber tree). Lineage: Eukaryota; Viridiplantae; Streptophyta; Magnoliopsida; Malpighiales; Euphorbiaceae. The record is from RNAcentral.
GGAGAACUGAAACUAGCCACUAUAUAAGGUUCAAAGCCUGUUCAAACCCUUAAACCGUUGACCUGGGCUGGUCCAGGAUUUGACAUGGGUCAGGCCUGAUCCAGUUCAAGGCUUGAACAGGCCCCUGGCAAAGUCUAUUAUCAACCAUUCUUAGCAUAAAUGUUCAUGCUGUCAUGCAUAAUUUAUCGGCAAAUUAUUAGGUGCACCGAAUACUUAUAUAAAAGCAGUUGCACCAUAAGAUUAGGAAGGUAGAACCCAUUGCUUUGUGGGUGAAGGUGUACAUGCACACUAUAAUUUAUCUAAUUUAUCCCCAUCUAUACCUAUCAAAUUAAAAAAAUG